GCCUGUGUGGCUUAGUCGGUUAAGCUUCUGACUUCAGCUCAGAUCAUGAUCUCACAGUUCAUGAGUUCGUGCCCCAUAUUGGGCU
Molecule: transfer RNA, 85 nt
Filed under: Felis catus (domestic cat)
Lineage: Eukaryota; Metazoa; Chordata; Mammalia; Carnivora; Felidae
Rfam family: tRNA
About the family: Transfer RNA (tRNA) molecules are approximately 80 nucleotides in length. Their secondary structure includes four short double-helical elements and three loops (D, anti-codon, and T loops). Further hydrogen bonds mediate the characteristic L-shaped molecular structure. tRNAs have two regions of fundamental functional importance: the anti-codon, which is responsible for specific mRNA codon recognition, and the 3' end, to which the tRNAs corresponding amino acid is attached (by aminoacyl-tRNA synthetases). tRNAs cope with the degeneracy of the genetic code in two manners: having more than one tRNA (with a specific anti-codon) for a particular amino acid; and 'wobble' base-pairing, i.e. permitting non-standard base-pairing at the 3rd anti-codon position.
Source: Rfam by way of RNAcentral